RNAcentral lists this ribosomal RNA (496 nucleotides) under uncultured bacterium. RNAcentral's name for it is "partial 16S ribosomal RNA". It matches the Rfam family "Bacterial small subunit ribosomal RNA", at positions 28 to 506 of the family's 1533-position model. The record is from RNAcentral.
GAUGAACGCUGGCGGCGUGCCUAAUACAUGCAAGUCGAGCGAACAGACGAGGAGCUUGCUCCUCUGACGUUAGCGGCGGACGGGUGAGUAACACGUGGAUAACCUACCUAUAAGACUGGGAUAACUUCGGGAAACCGGAGCUAAUACCGGAUAAUAUAUUGAACCGCAUGGUUCAAUAGUGAAAGACGGUUUUGCUGUCACUUAUAGAUGGAUCCGCGCCGCAUUAGCUAGUUGGUAAGGUAACGGCUUACCAAGGCGACGAUGCGUAGCCGACCUGGGAGGGUGAUCGGCCACACUGGAACUGAGACACGGUCCAGACUCCUACGGAAGGCAGCGGUGGGGAAUCUUCCGCAAUGGGCGAAAGCCUGACGGAGCAACGCGGCGUGAGUGAUGAAGGUCUUCGGAUCGUAAAACUCUGUUAUUAGGGAAGAACAAAUGUGUAAGUAACUAUGCACGUCUUGACGGUACCUAAUCAGAAGGCCACGGCUAACUACGU